AUUGUACGCUGGCGGCAUGCUUUACACAUGCAAGUCGAACGGCAGCGCGGGCUUCGGCCUGGCGGCGAGUGGCGAACGGGUGAGUAAUACAUCGGAACGUGCCCAGUAGUGGGGGAUAGCUCGGCGAAAGCCGGAUUAAUACCGCAUACGACCUGAGGGUGAAAGCGGGGGAUCUUCGGACCUCGCGCUAUUGGAGCGGCCGAUGGCAGAUUAGCUAGUUGGUGGGGUAAAGGCCUACCAAGGCGACGAUCUGUAGCUGGUCUGAGAGGACGACCAGCCACACUGGGACUGAGACACGGCCCAGACUCCUACGGGAGGCAGCAGUGGGGAAUUUUGGACAAUGGGCGAAAGCCUGAUCCAGCAAUGCCGCGUGUGUGAUGAAGGCCUUCGGGUUGUAAAGCACUUUUGGCGGGAACGAAAAGGACUGUGCCAAUACCACGGUUCGAUGACGGUACCCGCAGAAUAAGCACCGGCUAACUACGUG
RNAcentral lists this ribosomal RNA (484 nucleotides) under uncultured bacterium. RNAcentral describes it as "partial 16S ribosomal RNA". It matches the Rfam family "Bacterial small subunit ribosomal RNA", at positions 29 to 507 of the family's 1533-position model. The record is from RNAcentral.